CCCUUAGAUGUUCUGGGCCGCACGCGUGCUACACUGAGUAAAUCAAUGGGUAAGGGAACACGAAAGUGCAACCUAAUCUUGAAAUUUGCUCGUGAUGGGGAUCGACGGUUGCAAUUUUCCGUCGUGAACGAGGAAUACCUUGUAGGCGCGUGUCAUCAUCACGCGCCGAAUUCGUCCCUGCCCUUUGUACACACCGCCCGUCGCUCCUACCGAUUGAGUGAUCCGGUGAGGCUCUGGGACCUGGACGGAAAGAGCGUUUCGCUUGUUCUGUUUGGGAAACUUGGUCGAACCUUAUCAUUUAGAGGAAGGAGAAGUCGUAACA
This 322-nucleotide ribosomal RNA is filed under the name uncultured eukaryote. RNAcentral describes it as "partial 18S ribosomal RNA". It matches the Rfam family "Eukaryotic small subunit ribosomal RNA", at positions 1470 to 1796 of the family's 1831-position model. The record is from RNAcentral.